CAAAAAAACAAACCCUGGUUUCCGUGUCCAAAGUUUAACCGUCCGUCUUAUUUAAAAAAAUUAUGAAAAAAAUUAAAAAGAUAAGUCAUGCAUAAAGUAUUAAUCAUAUUUUAUCAUCUAACAACAAUAAAAAUACUAAUUAUAAAAAAAUUUCAUAUAAGACGAACAGUCAAACGUUGGCACGACAAUUCACGGUUUGCCUUUUU
Molecule: microRNA precursor, 206 nt
Organism: Oryza sativa Indica Group (long-grained rice)
Lineage: Eukaryota; Viridiplantae; Streptophyta; Magnoliopsida; Poales; Poaceae
Rfam family: MIR812 microRNA precursor family
Source: Rfam